Bombyx mori (domestic silkworm) is the source of this 835-nucleotide long non-coding RNA. RefSeq lists it as uncharacterized. Lineage: Eukaryota; Metazoa; Arthropoda; Insecta; Lepidoptera; Bombycidae. The transcript is spliced from 2 exons. The record is from RefSeq and is a predicted model, not a curated record.
GUCAGCUGGCAAUGGCCGUAUUCACUAGCAUUUUGUUAACAUGUGCUUUUAUACUGUUUAGUUAUUUCUAAUGUAGAUCAAAAAAAUAUUGAAAAUUCAACAAACUUCAACAAUACUUCAACAAAAAAAUAUCAGUGAAGACGGCCAAUUAGUCGUUAAAGUACGAUUAGUGCGGUUUUAAUAAACUCAGUUAUUUUUAAUGAUAUUGAAUAUUAACCAGCAUAGAAAUUUCAGUGGUUUCUAGUAUUUUGUAAUAAAAUUAAAUCAAUCGUAUAAUCAAAUUCAAAUCGUAUAAUUUGAUGAUAUCCGAAGUGGAGCAUUAUUUAUAUUGUCAUUUUUUUUACAUGAUAUUCACUACGUUUUUUUUUCCUACCUUAGCUGAUAGCCUUGAGAGACUAUAUCAGCGUUGCCUUAACUAGUAGGUGAGCUCACGAGGCUCAAACCUGAUGAUGUUGCUAACACGAACCCUAGCAAGAGCUGUGCUUCGCAGAAUCUACCACCGGAUCGGAAACGCGACCCACUGAGAAGAUCAGGCGAGAAACUCAGUCGGCUGUGUCUGAGGGUUAAUUUAAUCGUCGAGCCCUUCGUCGCAAGCGACGGGUUCGACGAGAACGAUGACCGGUGCUUGAGGAUCGGGAAUGACGUCACUAUGUAAGAAGAAGGGUCGUCGUACCCCCUUUCGGGGGUACGGAACGGGCCUCGGGGCAAACCCAACUACCCAGGCAGAAGCUCCCUGCCACACAGGGUAGGGGUGAUGUGGGUGCAGGAACGAUCAAGGAGGAUCAUCCAAAAAGUCCGCAGAAAAAAUCUCAAUAAAAAAUGACCAUCUUAUUAA